This 442-nucleotide ribosomal RNA is filed under the name uncultured bacterium. RNAcentral describes it as "partial 16S ribosomal RNA". It matches the Rfam family "Bacterial small subunit ribosomal RNA", at positions 338 to 795 of the family's 1533-position model. The record is from RNAcentral.
CCUACGUGAGGCAGCAGUGGGGAAUAUUUGGCCAUGGGCGCAAGCCUGACCCAGCAACGCAGCGUGAAGGAAGAAUGCUUUAGGGUUUGAACCUUCUUUUGUUAGGGAAGAGUAGAAGACGGUACCUGACGAAUAAGCCACGGCUAACUACGUGCCAGCAGCCGCGGUCAUACGUAGGUGGCAAGCGUUGUCCGGAUUCACUGGGUGUAAAGGGCGUGUAGCCGGGUUGACAAGUCUGAUGUGAAAUCCUGCGGCGUAACCGCAGAACUGCAUGUGAAACUGUUGAUCGUGAGUACUGGAGAGGCAGACGGAAGUCCUGGUGUAGCGGUGAAAUGCGUAGAUAUUAGGAGGAACACCAGUGGCGAAGGCGGCCUGCUGGACAGCAACUGACGGUGAGGCGCGAAAGCGUGGGGAGCAAACAGGAUUAGAUACCCGGGUAGUC